RNAcentral lists this ribosomal RNA (468 nucleotides) under uncultured bacterium. RNAcentral's name for it is "partial 16S ribosomal RNA". It matches the Rfam family "Bacterial small subunit ribosomal RNA", at positions 28 to 507 of the family's 1533-position model. The record is from RNAcentral.
GACGAACGCUGGCGGCGUGCUUAACACAUGCAAGUCGAACGGAAAGGCCCUGCUUUUGUGGGGUGCUCGAGUGGCGAACGGGUGAGUAACACGUGAGUAACCUGCCCUUGACUUUGGGAUAACUUCAGGAAACUGGGGCUAAUACCGGAUAGGAGCUCCUGCUGCAUGGUGGGGGUUGGAAAGUUUCGGCGGUUGGGGAUGGACUCGCGGCUUAUCAGCUUGUUGGUGGGGUAGUGGCUUACCAAGGCUUUGACGGGUAGCCGGCCUGAGAGGGUGACCGGCCACAUUGGGACUGAGAUACGGCCCAGACUCCUACGGGGGGCAGCAGUGGGGAGUAUUGCACAAUGGGCGGAAGCCUGAUGCAGCAACGCCGCGUGCGGGAUGACGGCCUUCGGGUUGUAAACCGCUUUCGCCUGUGACGAAGCGUGAGUGACGGUAAUGGGUAAAGAAGCACCGGCUAACUACGUG